AUCCUGCUGACGAGUCCCAAACAGGACGAGACGUACGUCCUGGAU
Molecule: non-coding RNA, 45 nt
Organism: Schistosoma margrebowiei
Lineage: Eukaryota; Metazoa; Platyhelminthes; Trematoda; Strigeidida; Schistosomatidae
Source: Rfam